UGAUCCUGUCCGGAGGCCACUGCUAUCGGAGUUCGAUUAAGCCAUGCGAGUCGAGAGUGUGCAAGAACUCGGCAUACUGCUCAGUAACACGUGGACAGUCUAACCUACGGAGGGGGAUAACCCCGGUGAAACUGGGGAUAAUACCCCAUAGACUAUGGAUGCUGGAAUGCACUGUAGUUGAAAGGUCCGCCGCCGUAUGAUGGGUCUGCGGCCGAUUAGGUUGUUGUUGGGGUAACGUGCCCAACAAGCCUGUAAUCGGUACGGGUUGUGGGAGCAAGAGCCCGGAGAUGGAUUCUGAGACACGAAUCCAGGCCCUACGGGGCGCAGCAGGCGCGAAAACUUUACAAUAGCGGGAAACCGUGAUAGGGGAACUCCGAGUGCCCGUUAAAUCGGGCUGUCCAUUGGUUUAAAUAACCAGUGAAGAAAGGGCCGGGCAAGACCGGUGCCAGCCGCCGCGGUAAUACCGGCGGCUCGAGUGGUGGCCACUAUUACUGGGCUUAAAGCCGUUCGUAGCUGGUUUGUUACGUCUCUGGGGAAAUCUUCCGGAUUAACCGGAAGGCGUCUCACGGUAUACUGGCAGACUAAGGACCGGGAGAGGUAGGCGUACCCAAGGUAAGAGUGAAUCCUGUAUCCUUGGGGGACAACUGUGGCGAUGCGCUCACCAGAAGGCACGAAGUGAGGAGAAGCUGGGGAGCAACGGAA
This 702-nucleotide ribosomal RNA is filed under the name uncultured archaeon. Its description in RNAcentral is "bacterial SSU rRNA". It matches the Rfam family "Archaeal small subunit ribosomal RNA", at positions 9 to 728 of the family's 1478-position model. The record is from RNAcentral.